AACGCUAGCUACAGGCUUAACACAUGCAAGUCGAGGGGCAGCAUGGUCUUAGCUUGCUAAGACUGAUGGCGACCGGCGCACGGGUGAGUAACACGUAUCCAACCUGCCGUCUACUCUUGGACAGCCUUCUGAAAGGAAGAUUAAUACAAGAUGGCAUCAUGAGUCCACAUGUUCACAUGAUUAAAGGUAUUCCGGUAGACGAUGGGGAUGCGUUCCAUUAGAUAGUAGGCGGGGUAACGGCCCACCUAGUCUUCGAUGGAUAGGGGUUCUGAGAGGAAGGUCCCCCACAUUGGAACUGAGACACGGUCCAAACUCCUACGGGAGGCAGCAGUGAGGAAUAUUGGUCAAUGGGCGAUGGCCUGAACCAGCCAAGUAGCGUGAAGGAUGACUGCCCUAUGGGUUGUAAACUUCUUUUAUAAAGGAAUAAAGUCGGGUAUGCAUACCCGUUUGCAUGUAUUUUAUGAAUAAGGAUCGGCUAACUCCGUGCCAGCAGCCGCGGUAAUACGGAGGAUCCGAGCGUUAUCCGGAUUUAUUGGGUUUAAAGGGAGCGUAGGCGGACGCUUAAGUCAGUUGUGAAAGUUUGCGGCUCAACCGUAAAAUUGCAGUUGAUACUGGGUGUCUUGAGUGCAGUAGAGGUGGGCGGAAUUCGUGGUGUAGCGGUGAAAUGCUUAGAUAUCACGAAGAACUCCGAUUG
Molecule: ribosomal RNA, 694 nt
Filed under: uncultured Bacteroidales bacterium
Lineage: Bacteria; Pseudomonadati; Bacteroidota; Bacteroidia; Bacteroidales
Description: bacterial SSU rRNA
Rfam family: Bacterial small subunit ribosomal RNA
Source: RNAcentral